Molecule: ribosomal RNA, 495 nt
Filed under: uncultured bacterium
Lineage: Bacteria
Description: partial 16S ribosomal RNA
Rfam family: Bacterial small subunit ribosomal RNA
Source: RNAcentral
GACGAACGCUGGCGGCGUGCCUAAUACAUGCAAGUAGAACGCUGAAGGAGGAGCUUGCUUCUCUGGAUGAGUUGCGAACGGGUGAGUAACGCGUAUGUAACCUGCCUGGUAGCGGGGGAUAACUAUUGGAAACGAUAGCUAAUACCGCAUAACAGUAGAUAUCGCAUGAUAUCUACUUGAAAGGUGCAAUUGCAUCACUACCAGAUGGACCUGCGUUGUAUUAGCUAGUUGGUGAGGUAACGGCUCACCAAGGCGACGAUACAUAGCCGACCUGAGAGGGUGAUCGGCCACACUGGGACUGAGACACGGCCCAGACUCCUACGGGAGGCAGCAGUAGGGAAUCUUCGGCAAUGGACGGAAGUCUGACCGAGCAACGCCGCGUGAGGGAAGAAGGUUUUCGGAUCGUAAAGCUCUGUUGUAAGAGAAGAACGAGUGUGAGAGUGGAAAGUUCACACUGUGACGGUAUCUUACCAGAAAGGGACGGCUAACUACGUG